GCGGAUGUGGCGAAACUGGUAAACGCAAGGGACUUAAAAUCCCUCGUCUUCAAUGACUUGCGGGUUCGAUCCCCGCCAUCCGCA
RNAcentral lists this transfer RNA (84 nucleotides) under Ruegeria marisrubri. RNAcentral describes it as "Ruegeria sp. ZGT118 tRNA". It matches the Rfam family "tRNA". From Rfam's summary of the family: Transfer RNA (tRNA) molecules are approximately 80 nucleotides in length. Their secondary structure includes four short double-helical elements and three loops (D, anti-codon, and T loops). Lineage: Bacteria; Pseudomonadati; Pseudomonadota; Alphaproteobacteria; Rhodobacterales; Roseobacteraceae. The record is from Rfam by way of RNAcentral.